RNAcentral lists this ribosomal RNA (975 nucleotides) under Escherichia coli. RNAcentral describes it as "partial 23S ribosomal RNA". It matches the Rfam family "Bacterial large subunit ribosomal RNA", at positions 175 to 1191 of the family's 2925-position model. The record is from RNAcentral. Lineage: Bacteria; Pseudomonadati; Pseudomonadota; Gammaproteobacteria; Enterobacterales; Enterobacteriaceae.
UGAGGCGAACCGGGGGAACUGAAACAUCUAAGUACCCCGAGGAAAAGAAAUCAACCGAGAUUCCCCCAGUAGCGGCGAGCGAACGGGGAGGAGCCCAGAGCCUGAAUCAGUGUGUGUGUUAGUGGAAGCGUCUGGAAAGGCGCGCGAUACAGGGUGACAGCCCCGUACACAAAAAUGCACAUAUUGUGAGCUCGAUGAGUAGGGCGGGACACGUGGUAUCCUGUCUGAAUAUGGGGGGACCAUCCUCCAAGGCUAAAUACUCCUGACUGACCGAUAGUGAACCAGUACCGUGAGGGAAAGGCGAAAAGAACCCCGGCGAGGGGAGUGAAAAAGAACCUGAAACCGUGUACGUACAAGCAGUGGGAGCCUCUUAAUGGGGUGACUGCGUACCUUUUGUAUAAUGGGUCAGCGACUUAUAUUCUGUAGCAAGGUUAACCGAAUAGGGGAGCCGAAGGGAAACCGAGUCUUAACUGGGCGUUAAGUUGCAGGGUAUAGACCCGAAACCCGGUGAUCUAGCCAUGGGCAGGUUGAAGGUUGGGUAACACUAACUGGAGGACCGAACCGACUAAUGUUGAAAAAUUAGCGGAUGACUUGUGGCUGGGGGUGAAAGGCCAAUCAAACCGGGAGAUAGCUGGUUCUCCCCGAAAGCUAUUUAGGUAGCGCCUCGUGAAUUCAUCUCCGGGGGUAGAGCACUGUUUCGGCAAGGGGGUCAUCCCGACUUACCAACCCGAUGCAAACUGCGAAUACCGGAGAAUGUUAUCACGGGAGACACACGGCGGGUGCUAACGUCCGUCGUGAAGAGGGAAACAACCCAGACCGCCAGCUAAGGUCCCAAAGUCAUGGUUAAGUGGGAAACGAUGUGGGAAGGCCCAGACAGCCAGGAUGUUGGCUUAGAAGCAGCCAUCAUUUAAAGAAAGCGUAAUAGCUCACUGGUCGAGUCGGCCUGCGCGGAAGAUGUAACGGGGCUAAACCAUG